AUCCAGCUGACAAGUCCCAAAUAGGACGAAACAUCCAUCCUGGAU
Molecule: non-coding RNA, 45 nt
Organism: Schistosoma mattheei
Lineage: Eukaryota; Metazoa; Platyhelminthes; Trematoda; Strigeidida; Schistosomatidae
Source: Rfam